RNAcentral lists this ribosomal RNA (440 nucleotides) under uncultured bacterium. Its description in RNAcentral is "partial 16S ribosomal RNA". It matches the Rfam family "Bacterial small subunit ribosomal RNA", at positions 338 to 795 of the family's 1533-position model. The record is from RNAcentral.
CCUACGGGUGGCUGCAGUGGGGAAUAUUGCACAAUGGGGGAAACCCUGAUGCAGCGACGCCGCGUGAGCGAAGAAGUAUUUCGGUAUGUAAAGCUCUUUCAGCAGGGAAGCAAAUGACGGUACCUGACUAAGAAGCUCCGGCUCAAUACGUGCCAGCAGCCGCGGUAAUACGUAUGGAGCAAGCGUUAUCCGGAUUUACUGGGUGUAAAGGGGGAGUAGGCGGUAAGGCAAGUCUGAUGUGAAAGGCCUGGGCUCAACCCUGGGACUGCAUUGGAAACUGUUUAACUGGAGUGUCGGAGAGGCAAGUGGAAUGCCUGGUGGAGCGGUGAAAUGCGUAGAUAUUAGGAGGAACACCAGUGGCGAAGGCGGCGUGCUGGACGAUAACUGACGCUGAGGCUCGAAAGCGUGGGGAGCAAACAGGAUUAGAUACCCCAGUAGUC